Long non-coding RNA from Falco peregrinus (peregrine falcon), 516 nucleotides. RefSeq lists it as uncharacterized. The transcript has 2 exons. The record is from RefSeq and is a predicted model, not a curated record. Lineage: Eukaryota; Metazoa; Chordata; Aves; Falconiformes; Falconidae.
CUCACAAAGCCUAGUGCACAUGAUUUGCGUGUGAAUUGUGUAACUAAUACAGAUGUAAUCUUUGAAGUGUCUGCCUUCUCUGCUUUCACAAAUACGUGCUAAAAUGAGGAGUGCAUCUGCUGAUCUGUUAAGUACUUGAUGUCAACAUUACUGAGUGUAGUUUCUGUUCACAGUCCCUGUAGUGCUGCUUCAGAAAGUGGGUCUUUCAAGUUAUCAAGUACCCUUGCUGCAUCAAAGCCCGUCUCUCCUAUCUCUCCAUUCUUCUGUGCAGACUUCUGAAGGCUGAAAGUUGUUGAAGCUGAAUUAUUUUCAUUAUGUCUCUUGAUUAAAAUCCAGGGAGUGAUUGUUGUAUGGGACUGUUUUCUCUGGUUUGGGGUUGGAUUUGUUUGUGCAGUGCUGGAACUACUAGUUUACCUGCUUUUUUACCUAAGUUGAAGACUGUUGUCCCUCUUUUAACCCAAGCUUGUUAUCCUAGUGAGGUUCUGAGGAAAAUAAAUGGAUUGAGUAAAUAUUAAA